Molecule: non-coding RNA, 72 nt
Organism: Zopfochytrium polystomum
Lineage: Eukaryota; Fungi; Chytridiomycota; Chytridiomycetes; Chytridiales; Chytridiaceae
Source: the annotation of a GenBank genome assembly
GGGGCUUUGGUCUAGGGGUAUGAUUCCUUCUUAGGGUGGAGGAGGUCCCGGGUUCAAGUCCCGGAAGCCCCC